This 225-nucleotide long non-coding RNA is filed under the name Gossypium raimondii (Peruvian cotton). RNAcentral's name for it is "long non-coding RNA (GRAI_LNC001749)". Lineage: Eukaryota; Viridiplantae; Streptophyta; Magnoliopsida; Malvales; Malvaceae. The record is from RNAcentral.
GGGAAACUAGUAAUCAAGGGGGUCCUUAUAGGGGCUGGAUCGACUCCUUUAAAAAUUUGAAAAAUUGACAUUUAAAUCUUUCAAAAUUUUUAUAAAUUUCGAUUAAGCCUUUUCAAGAAUUUUGAAAUUUUUUGUUAAGUAAUUUGAUUUUUUUUUUGAUUUUUUUAAUUAAAUUUUAAAAAAUUAAUGUUAAGAUCCGUCAUUACGGAUAAUAUUGAAUUGAGU